This 466-nucleotide ribosomal RNA is filed under the name uncultured bacterium. RNAcentral's name for it is "partial 16S ribosomal RNA". It matches the Rfam family "Bacterial small subunit ribosomal RNA", at positions 28 to 507 of the family's 1533-position model. The record is from RNAcentral.
GAUGAACGCUGGCGGCGUGCUUAACACAUGCAAGUCGAACGGAAAGGCCCAGGCUUGCUUGGGUACUCGAGUGGCGAACGGGUGAGUAACACGUGGGUGAUCUGCCCUGCACUUCGGGAUAAGCCUGGGAAACUGGGUCUAAUACCGGAUAGGACCACAUUUUGGAUGGUGUGGUGGAAAGUUUUUCGGUGUGGGAUGAGCUCGCGGCCUAUCAGCUUGUUGGUGGGGUAAUGGCCUACCAAGGCGUCGACGGGUAGCCGGCCUGAGAGGGUGUACGGCCACAUUGGGACUGAGAUACGGCCCAGACUCCUACGGGAGGCAGCAGUGGGGAAUAUUGCACAAUGGGCGCAAGCCUGAUGCAGCGACGCCGCGUGGGGGAUGACGGCCUUCGGGUUGGAAACUCCUUUCGCUAGGGACGAAGCGUUAUGUGACGGUACCUGGAGAAGAAGCACCGGCUAACUACGUG